UAUUGGGCAAUGGGCGCAAGCCUGACCCAGCAACGCCGCGUGAAGGAAGAAGGCUUUCGGGUUGUAAACUUCUUUUGUCAGGGACGAAGCAAGUGACGGUACCUGACGAAUAAGCCACGGCUAACUACGUGCCAGCAGCCGCGGUAAUACGUAGGUGGCAAGCGUUAUCCGGAUUUACUGGGUGUAAAGGGCGUGUAGGCGGGGAAGCAAGUCAGAUGUGAAAACCACGGGCUCAACCUGUGGCCUGCAUUUGAAACUGUUUUUCUUGAGUGCUGGAGAGGCAAUCGGAAUUCCGUGUGUAGCGGUGAAAUGCGUAGAUAUACGGAGGAACACCAGUGGCGAAGGCGGAUUGCUGGACUGUUGACUGACACUGAGGCUCGAAAGUGUGGGUAUCAAACA
This 399-nucleotide ribosomal RNA is filed under the name uncultured bacterium. RNAcentral describes it as "bacterial SSU rRNA". It matches the Rfam family "Bacterial small subunit ribosomal RNA", at positions 362 to 774 of the family's 1533-position model. The record is from RNAcentral.